Molecule: ribosomal RNA, 497 nt
Filed under: uncultured bacterium
Lineage: Bacteria
Description: partial 16S ribosomal RNA
Rfam family: Bacterial small subunit ribosomal RNA
Source: RNAcentral
GAUGAACGCUGGCGGCGUGCCUAAUACAUGCAAGUCGAGCGAACGGACGAGAAGCUUGCUUUUCUGAUGUUAGCGGCGGACGGGUGGGUAACACGUGGAUAACCUACCUAUAAGACUGGGAUAACUUCGGGAAACCGGAGCUAAUACCGGAUAAUAUUUUGAACCGCAUGGUUCAAAAGUGAAAGACGGUCUUGCUGUCACUUAUAGAUGGAUCCGCGCUGCAUUAGCUAGUUGGUAAGGUAACGGCUUACCAAGGCAACGAUGCAUAGCCGACCUGAGAGGGUGAUCGGCCACACUGGAACUGAGACACGGUCCAGACUCCUACGGGAGGCAGCAGUAGGGAAUCUUCCGCAAUGGGCGAAAGCCUGACGGAGCAACGCCGCGUGAGUGAUGAAGGUCUUCGGAUCGUAAAACUCUGUUAUUAGGGAAGAACAAAUGUGUAAGUAACUGUGCACAUCUUGACGGUACCUAAUCAGAAAGCCACGGCUAACUACGUG